AGAGUUUGAUCCUGGCUCAGGACGAACGCUGGCGGCGUGCCUAAUACAUGCAAGUCGAGCGGACCGGAUUGGGGCUUGCCUUGAUUCGGUCAGCGGCGGACGGGUGAGUAACACGUGGGCAACCUGCCCGCAAGACCGGGAUAACUCCGGGAAACCGGAGCUAAUACCGGAUAACACCGAAGACCGCAUGGUCUUCGGUUGAAAGGCGGCCUUUGGGCUGUCACUUGCGGAUGGGCCCGCGGCGCAUUAGCUAGUUGGUGAGGUAACGGCUCACCAAGGCGACGAUGCGUAGCCGGCCUGAGAGGGUGACCGGCCACACUGGGACUGAGACACGGCCCAGACUCCUACGGGAGGCAGCAGUAGGGAAUCUUCCGCAAUGGGCGAAAGCCUGACGGAGCGACGCCGCGUGAGCGAAGAAGGCCUUCGGGUCGUAAAGCUCUGUUGUGAGGGACGAAGGAGCGCCGUUCGAAGAGGGCGGCGUGGUGACGGUACCUCACGAGAAAGCCCCGGCUAACUACGUG
Molecule: ribosomal RNA, 521 nt
Filed under: uncultured Geobacillus sp.
Lineage: Bacteria; Bacillati; Bacillota; Bacilli; Caryophanales; Anoxybacillaceae
Description: bacterial SSU rRNA
Rfam family: Bacterial small subunit ribosomal RNA
Source: RNAcentral